Molecule: unclassified non-coding RNA, 332 nt
Filed under: soil metagenome
Description: partial contains 5.8S ribosomal RNA, internal transcribed spacer 2, and large subunit ribosomal RNA
Rfam family: 5.8S ribosomal RNA (bases 1-120)
Source: RNAcentral
GAUGAAGAACGUAGCAAAAUGCGAUAAGUAAUGUGAAUUGCAGAAUUCAGUGAAUCAUCGAAUCUUUGAACGCACAUUGCGCCCGCCAGUAUUCUGGCGGGCAUGCCUGUUCGAGCGUCAUUUCAACCCUCUAGCACAGCUUGGUGUUGGGACUCGCGUUAAUUCGCGUUCCCCAAAUUGAUUGGCGGUCACGUCGAGCUUCCAUAGCGUAGUAGUAAAACCCUCGUUACUGGUAAUCGUCGCGGCCACGCCGUUAAACCCCAACUUCUGAAUGUUGACCUCGGAUCAGGUAGGAAUACCCGCUGAACUUAAGCAUAUCAAUAAGCGGAGGA